ACUUAUCGAGAGUGAAAAUCAAAAACAUUUACCAUUAACGAUACAUCCCGGACUGAUCAGUUUCUACCUCUUUCUAGCAAACAGACAGAAUAUGUUUGCUAAGGCCGGUUUCAUCAGCGAGAAUCCUGAGUUAAAUCGAGAUGCGCAGCGUGUUAGACCAUCGGAUAUAUAUAUAUAUAUAU
Molecule: long non-coding RNA, 182 nt
Organism: Octopus sinensis (East Asian common octopus)
Lineage: Eukaryota; Metazoa; Mollusca; Cephalopoda; Octopoda; Octopodidae
Exons: 3
Source: RefSeq, a predicted model, not a curated record